UAGGGAAUCUUCCACAAUGGGCGAAAGCCUGAUGGAGCAACGCCGCGUGUGUGAUGAAGGGUUUCGGCUCGUAAAACACUGUUGUAAGAGAAGAAUGACAUUGAGAGUAACUGUUCAUACGUUGACGGUAUUUAACCAGAAAGUCACGGCUAACUACGUGUCAG
This 164-nucleotide ribosomal RNA is filed under the name uncultured bacterium. Its description in RNAcentral is "partial 16S rRNA". It matches the Rfam family "Bacterial small subunit ribosomal RNA", at positions 355 to 511 of the family's 1533-position model. The record is from RNAcentral.